RNAcentral lists this ribosomal RNA (446 nucleotides) under uncultured bacterium. RNAcentral's name for it is "partial 16S ribosomal RNA". It matches the Rfam family "Bacterial small subunit ribosomal RNA", at positions 331 to 794 of the family's 1533-position model. The record is from RNAcentral.
CCAGACUCCUACGGGAGGCAGCAGUGGGGGAUAUUGCACAAUGGGGGGAACCCUGAUGCAGCGACGCCGCGUGGGUGAAGGAGCGUUUCGGCGCGUAAAGCCCUAUCGGCAGGGAAGAAGAUGACGGUACCUGACCAAGAAGCCCCGGCUAACUACGUGCCAGCAGCCGCGGUAAUACGUAGGGGGCAAGCGUUAUCCGGAUUUACUGGGGGUAAAGGGGGCGCAGACGGCAGCGAAAGCCAGGAGUGAAAGCCCGGGGCGCAACCCCGGGACUGCGCUUGGAACUGCGCGGCUGGAGUGCAGGAGGGGGAGGCGGAAUUCCUGGUGUGGCGGUGAAAUGCGUAGAGAUCAGGAGGAACACCGGUGGCGAAGGCGGCCUGCUGGACUGCGACUGACGUUGAGGCCCGAAAGCGUGGGGAGCAGACAGGAUUAGAGACCCGCGUAAC